RNAcentral lists this ribosomal RNA (583 nucleotides) under Salmonella enterica. RNAcentral's name for it is "partial 23S ribosomal RNA". It matches the Rfam family "Bacterial large subunit ribosomal RNA", at positions 2202 to 2784 of the family's 2925-position model. RNAcentral also lists the same sequence under 2 other names. Lineage: Bacteria; Pseudomonadati; Pseudomonadota; Gammaproteobacteria; Enterobacterales; Enterobacteriaceae. The record is from RNAcentral.
ACCCUUUAAUGUUUGAUGUUCUAACGUGGACCCGUAAUCCGGGUUGCGGACAGUGUCUGGUGGGUAGUUUGACUGGGGCGGUCUCCUCCUAAAGAGUAACGGAGGAGCACGAAGGUUGGCUAAUCCUGGUCGGACAUCAGGAGGUUAGUGCAAUGGCAUAAGCCAGCUUGACUGCGAGCGUGACGGCGCGAGCAGGUGCGAAAGCAGGUCAUAGUGAUCCGGUGGUUCUGAAUGGAAGGGCCAUCGCUCAACGGAUAAAAGGUACUCCGGGGAUAACAGGCUGAUACCGCCCAAGAGUUCAUAUCGACGGCGGUGUUUGGCACCUCGAUGUCGGCUCAUCACAUCCUGGGGCUGAAGUAGGUCCCAAGGGUAUGGCUGUUCGCCAUUUAAAGUGGUACGCGAGCUGGGUUUAGAACGUCGUGAGACAGUUCGGUCCCUAUCUGCCGUGGGCGCUGGAGAACUGAGGGGGGCUGCUCCUAGUACGAGAGGACCGGAGUGGACGCAUCACUGGUGUUCGGGUUGUCAUGCCAAUGGCACUGCCCGGUAGCUAAAUGCGGAAGAGAUAAGUGCUGAAAGCAUCUAA